This 489-nucleotide ribosomal RNA is filed under the name uncultured bacterium. RNAcentral describes it as "bacterial SSU rRNA". It matches the Rfam family "Bacterial small subunit ribosomal RNA", at positions 501 to 989 of the family's 1533-position model. The record is from RNAcentral.
CUACGUGCCAGCAGCCGCGGUAAUACGUAGGUGGCAAGCGUUGUCCGGAAUUAUUGGGCGUAAAGCGCGCGCAGGCGGAUUGGUCAGUCUGUCUUAAAAGUUCGGGGCUUAACCCCGUGAUGGGAUGGAAACUGCCAAUCUAGAGUAUCGGAGAGGAAAGUGGAAUUCCUAGUGUAGCGGUGAAAUGCGUAGAUAUUAGGAAGAACACCAGUGGCGAAGGCGACUUUCUGGACGAAAACUGACGCUGAGGCGCGAAAGCCAGGGGAGCGAACGGGAUUAGAUACCCCGGUAGUCCUGGCCGUAAACGAUGGGUACUAGGUGUAGGAGGUAUCGACCCCUUCUGUGCCGGAGUUAACGCAAUAAGUACCCCGCCUGGGGAGUACGACCGCAAGGUUGAAACUCAAAGGAAUUGACGGGGGCCCGCACAAGCGGUGGAGUAUGUGGUUUAAUUCGAAGCAACGCGAAGAACCUUACCAGGGCUUGACAUCC